AAAUCAGAAAAUCAUGAAAAUUAAUACCUGCGAAGUGGUCAAGAACGGGUAAAACGCGAAAUAAAGUAUCCGCGAAAAUAAGUUGGUUUACAGUAUGUCAUUUCUAACAAAUAUGUUUUUGUCCUGUCUUACACAAGAAUGUGUAAAACCAUCUACAAAGGAAUAGAACCAAACUUGACAGAAUUUGUUCACACUGUAUACCAUGUUUAUGUUGAAUCAUAUAUUUCGGGGGUAAAAUGUUUCCCAUAGUCAAAACUCAAAACUAAUACAAAUGAAGAGGUUUAUGUUAUAUUCCUUCAGUUUGCAUAGGAACCAAACUUGACAGAAUUUGUUCACACUGUAUACCAUGUUUAUGUUAAAUCAUAUAUUUGGGGGGUAAAAUGUUUCCCAUAGUAGAACAAAGACUCAAAACUAAUACAAAUGAGGAGGUUUAUGUUAUAUUCCUUCAGUUUGCAUAGGAACAAAAGUUGAUAGAAUUGAGCGAUGAACAAAUAUUUAAUUAUCUACCAUCUCAGCACACAGAAAUAAAGUGAUGAGUUGGAACAAAAUAUUGAUUAUCAAUGGUCUGCUACUUACAUGAGGGUCUGGAGAGGGUUACUGAAUGUAAAAUAAUGGACACACAAAAAUAAAGAACUGAAAAAAUGGGGUAAAAAUAAAGAGUAGAGAAUAAAACAUGUGGAGCAAAAAUAUAAUAACUAGAAAAUAAUUGGCCAAAAAGGUAAAAUAAAAAAAGACGUGAAAUUUAAGAAAAGAGAAUAAUGCAUGAGGAGGAAAAAUAUAAUGAGUAUUGAAUAAUGUGCCAAAAAAUGUAAAUAGAGGGAAAAUUACCCCAAAAAUAAAGGAAAUACAAUUAAGACCCUCAUCUUACAUUUAUUGUGAUUUGUU
Molecule: long non-coding RNA, 885 nt
Filed under: Mytilus galloprovincialis (Mediterranean mussel)
Lineage: Eukaryota; Metazoa; Mollusca; Bivalvia; Mytilida; Mytilidae
Source: RNAcentral